CCUACGGUGGGCUGCAGUGGGGAAUAUUGGACAAUGGGCGAAAGCCUGAUCCAGCCAUGCCGCGUGUGUGAAGAAGGCCUUCGGGUUGUAAAGCACUUUCAGUGGGGAAGAAAGCCUUGGGGCUAAUACCCUCGAGGAAGGACAUCACCCACAGAAGAAGCACCGGCUAACUCCGUGCCAGCAGCCGCGGUAAUACGGAGGGUGCGAGCGUUAAUCGGAAUUACUGGGCGUAAAGCGCGCGUAGGCGGUCUGAUAAGCCGGUUGUGAAAGCCCCGGGCUCAACCUGGGAACGGCAUCCGGAACUGUCAGGCUAGAGUGCAGGAGAGGAAGGUAGAAUUCCCGGUGUAGCGGUGAAAUGCGUAGAGAUCGGGAGGAAUACCAGUGGCGAGGGCGGCCUUCUGGACUGACACUGACGCUGAGGUGCGAAAGCGUGGGUAGCAAACAGGAUUAGAUACCCUAGUAGUC
Molecule: ribosomal RNA, 465 nt
Filed under: Vreelandella stevensii
Lineage: Bacteria; Pseudomonadati; Pseudomonadota; Gammaproteobacteria; Oceanospirillales; Halomonadaceae
Description: partial 16S ribosomal RNA
Rfam family: Bacterial small subunit ribosomal RNA
Source: RNAcentral